AUUUUGAUCAUUUUUGUCAGUUUCCUUAUAGUGAUGGUUACUUAGUAAUACCCUUAACAAUGAAAAGGAACACCUAUCUACUUGUUCUUGAUGGAAGUAAACAAUGGCUUCAAAGGUGCAAGGAAAAUAGGCUGAGUGCUGGGGUUCUGCAGGAGGAAAUCAAGAAGGUCAAGGGAGAUUUGAUGGCUUGGCUGUUCUCUGAUAUCCAGAAAGAUAGAUGUCCUAUCAGCAGCAGCAGCAAUAGUGCAAGCAGCCCUGCCAACGACCUCUUGUGCUCCCACCUCCCAAGUGCCCAGCCCCAUGCCCACCGCCGAAGUGCCCAGUGCCAUGCCCACCUCCAGAGUUUCCACCUCAACUCUGCCAGCAGCAGUGUCCCCCUGUGCAGCCACCACCGUGCCAGCAGAAGUGACCACCCAGGAGCAGUAAGAGCAAAAGCCAUCAAGACCAUCGUGCAAACAAAUCACAGGGUCAGGCUCCUCUCUGAAUUAGGACCACUCUUCCCCAGAGCCCCAGGAAAAGCAUCGGGAACAAGUCUACCUUUCUUAAAAUACAGCCUUUCUUCGAUCUGUGCCUAA
Molecule: long non-coding RNA, 575 nt
Filed under: Felis catus (domestic cat)
Lineage: Eukaryota; Metazoa; Chordata; Mammalia; Carnivora; Felidae
Description: lncRNA (ENSFCAG00000050270.1)
Source: RNAcentral